CGAACGGGUGAGUAACACGUAAAGAACCUGCCUCAUAGACUGGGACAACUAUUGGAAACGAUAGCUAAUACCGGAUAACAGCAUUAACUGCAUGGUUGAUGUUUAAAAGUUGGUUUUGCUAACACUAUGAGAUGGCUUUUGCGGUGCAUUAGCUAGUUGGUGGGGUAAAGGCCUACCAAGGCGACGAUGCAUAGCCGACCUGAGAGGGUGAUCGGCCACACUGGGACUGAGACACGGCCCAG
Molecule: ribosomal RNA, 242 nt
Filed under: uncultured bacterium
Lineage: Bacteria
Description: partial 16S ribosomal RNA
Rfam family: Bacterial small subunit ribosomal RNA
Source: RNAcentral